GCCAACGUUAAUAGCACGUUGAAUGCAUCAGUUUCCAAUCGAUUAGUGAAGUUAAGCAACGUUUCUCGUGCUUGGUAUCCGAAUGGGUGAUCGACCAUGUGGAUAAUCACAUGUUUGCUGGCU
RNAcentral lists this ribosomal RNA (123 nucleotides) under Diaphorina citri (Asian citrus psyllid). The record is from RNAcentral. Lineage: Eukaryota; Metazoa; Arthropoda; Insecta; Hemiptera; Psyllidae.